UCUUCAUUUUACCCACUCUCUCACCGGUCAGACAGGCGAGAGAGUGUGUGAAAUGAAGAGA
Pristionchus pacificus is the source of this 61-nucleotide non-coding RNA. Lineage: Eukaryota; Metazoa; Nematoda; Chromadorea; Rhabditida; Neodiplogasteridae. The record is from Rfam.